AAAGCACCAGUUCCCAUAUAAUCACUGAAGUUAAGCAACAUAGAGCCUGGUCAGUAUUUAGAUGGGUGACUGUUUGGGAAUAUCGGGUGCUGUAAG
Non-coding RNA from Acanthosepion pharaonis, 96 nucleotides. Lineage: Eukaryota; Metazoa; Mollusca; Cephalopoda; Sepiida; Sepiidae. The record is from the annotation of a GenBank genome assembly.